UACGUAGGGUGCGAGCGUUGUCCGGAAUUAUUGGGCGUAAAGAGCUUGUAGGCGGUUUGUCGCGUCUGCUGUGAAAUCUCAAGGCUCAACCUUGAGCUUGCAGUGGGUACGGGCAGACUAGAGUGUGGUAGGGGAGACUGGAAUUCCGUGGUGUAGCGGUGAAAUGCGCAGAUAUCAGGAGGAACACCGGUGGCGAAGGCGGGGUCUCUGGGCAGUAACUGACGCUGGAGGAGCGAAAGCGGUGGGGAGCGAACAGG
RNAcentral lists this ribosomal RNA (257 nucleotides) under uncultured bacterium. RNAcentral describes it as "partial 16S ribosomal RNA". It matches the Rfam family "Bacterial small subunit ribosomal RNA", at positions 524 to 776 of the family's 1533-position model. The record is from RNAcentral.